GUGCUUGCUUUGGCAGCACAUAUAGUAAAAUGGGAACAAUACAGAGAAGAUUAGCAUGGCCCCUGUGCAAGGAUAACACGCAAAUUCUUGAAGUGUUCCAUGUUUUC
This 107-nucleotide small nuclear RNA is filed under the name Urocitellus parryii (Arctic ground squirrel). The record is from RNAcentral. Lineage: Eukaryota; Metazoa; Chordata; Mammalia; Rodentia; Sciuridae.